ACAGCACGGCGCUUACCGUCCUACAGCUCCGAGCUCACCGUCCUACAGCACGGCGCUUACCGUCCUACAGCUCCGAGCUGACCGUCCUACAGCACCGAGCUGACCGUCCUACAGCUCCGAGCUCACCGUCCUACAGCACGGCGCUUACCGUCCUACAGCUCCGAGCUUACCGUCCUACAGCACGGAGCUAUCCGGCCGACAGCAAUUGCUUGUUGAUGUACACAGACGGACAGGAGACAUGCUGUUUUGUUGAAGUGCGAGAGUAACUUUUAUUGAUAUUAUUGUCAUUUUAUUUGUGUUGCCAUAGGCAAACUCACCCGUUUGUAGAUUAAACUUGGAUUAUUUAUCACAAAAGAAGACAUAAGCGUAUAAGCACCAAAAACUCCCCGGGUGCCCUUCAGCAAACCAGAAUACAUUAUACAUGAGUAUAAAAACAAAAACAAUUACAAUGUGAGACACAAUACCAGUAACAUACGCAUUUGUACAUAACGCUUUAGGCACCAAGUGAGAAACAUUACCUUCAGUGUAGCAUUUACCUUCAUCAAUUAUACCAGAUACACAUUGGUAGGAAAGACUUCAUGGUGUACUCUCGUAUUCUUAAAUUAACUUCUCUUUUGUUUUUUGGGAUCAAUGAAGCUUAUUCCUUAACAGUACCACUACACGCGAAAAUUAACACUAGUGUCUACAGUGCAGUAAAUCAUGUCAUACACAUUGUAGAGCAAUGUAACCCUCCUUUAAUUUGCCAAACAAUGAAAACAAUAAAAUAAUAAAAUGGCAGGUUUCAGUAUUCAGGCAAAGCAAAACACACACAGCAAUUUACCAGCUGUACACAGAAUCUCCUCAUAUACAGUGUAAACCACCAGUGAUAAAAUAAUUGAAUGCAGUAGCACAAAGAUGAGGAGGGUCCGUGAUCUCCACAAGCUACCUGUUUUAGCUUCCCACGUUGCCAGAGGUACUCAGAGUGACGCGGGCACUCAGAGUGACUAUCUGGGGUCCGUCUGUCGCUAUCCAGUUCGGUAACGAUCCUCUGCAGCUUUUUUACGUUCCACAACUUUAGCAAAACGGCAGUCUACAGUAGUCUUUAUUAGCGAACGGCUGGGUUAGCCUCACUUUUACUCAAUGCGUGCACGGCCGCAGGAAACAAAACACACAGUCCAGCAGACUCACGCUGAAACUUUACGUGUUAUGUCACUAGCUUACCGACACUGUGUCUUAUCUUUCCGAAAAGUCAAAACACACUUACUAGUACAUAAAAACAAGCUAACUUCUCCACAUACUCCGUGUAACUCACGCACCACCCUCUCUCCUCGCGCUCUCUUUUUCCUUUUUCCUUCUCCACCCUGUGUUACCUUCACAGACCAUAUCCCCGUAGGAAAUUACACUUUUCAUAAGAAAUUCACAAGAAAAGAAAGAUAACUUAUUUUAAACAAUGCAAACACGUUUUUAAUCAUUUUACAUGAACUUUUAUCUUUUUAAUGUACAAGAAAGUUGAACAAAUGAAUUUAACUCUUUGGUAUUUAUAUUCUUAGACUUUACUUAUCUUUUACUAUUCAUUCUUCUUUUUAACCCGGGUUACAGUAAAGCUAUCUGUCCUACAGCACCGAGCUGACCGUCCCACAGGACGGCGCUUACCGUCCUACAGCACCGAGCUGACCGUCCUACAGCUCCGAGCUCACCGUCCUACAGCUCCGAGCUCACCGUCCUACAGCACGGCGCUUACCGUCCUACAGCUCCGAGCUUACCGUCCUACAGCUCCGAGCUCACCGUCCUACAGCUCCGAGCUUACCGUCCUACAGCACCGAGCUCACCGUCCUACAGCUCCGAGCUCACCGUCCUACAGCACGGCGCUCACCGUCCUACAGCACGGAGCUAUGCAGCCGACAGCAAUUGCUUGUUGAUGUACACAGACGGACAGGAGACAUGCUGUUUUGUUGAAGUGCGAGAGUAACUUUUAUUGAUAUUAUUGUCAUUUUAUUUGUGUUGCCAUAGGCAAACUCACCCGUUUGUAGAUUACACUUGGAUUAUUUAUCACAAAAGAAGAUAUAAGUACGGUGGCUGGGAAGUGCAAAGCACAUUUACAACAUAGACAACAAAAUAACAUUUUAGAAAACACUUCUACAUAAAAAAAAGGCAAAUAAAAAAAUUGACAACAAAAUAACAAGUCCGCAACAAAUUAACAAGUGGCUCUUGACGGAAAGGGAUUGUCUGAAAUACCGGAAGUGACUCAACAAUGUUUCUGGCCCAAACAAAGCGCUAGCGGAAGAGGAGCGAAAGCACACGGAUAACACCAGCUAUGGUUCGUACUUGCUGUGCGGUCGGUUGUAAUGUUAGAUCGCACGACCGGCAAGGGAAUAAGCUUGAAAUGGUUUAUCUUUUCAUUCUUUCCCCACCUGGAAGCAACAUGAGGCAGCUCAUGUAUCAGAUGUUACCAAAAGAAGACGUCUAGUCUGGAUAGCAGCUGUGAGACGAGCUGAUAUCCAGCUCUCUUCCAUCUCCAAAUAUCUGUUGGUGCUCCAGAUAUUUUCAUUCCGGCAAACCAGCCUAUGAAAUGGAUGAAACACAUCGUGACUGGGUUCCAGCGCUACACAAGGGGCACUCCGAAAUCCCUGCUUCAAACAUACCGCCAUGCCAAUCAGAUUACUUCUUCCCUGUGAGGGUGAAGAUGUGACCCUUCUGGAUAAGAUGGUGAAGGUUUGCUGCGUUUUGGUGAACAGUGUGGUAGUAAAACCAGGGAAAAAUGAAACUUGCGCCUGUUAAAUAUUCUUAAGUCUUGCGCUGUAUAAAUAGCAGUAGUUUUUCAAAAGAUACAGUAAAUUAAGUAGUGAUAGUAUUUGGUGAUAUCAUGUAAACGCUGUCAUGAUUUUGUGUAAACAUUUUGUCAUUUGUAAACUAUAAAUGACAUUGAUUCUACAUUGUAACUGAUGUGAUGUUCUAUAAAGUGGUUUUAAUAAAAAACAAAAGGCAAAAA
This is a long non-coding RNA of Oreochromis aureus, 2968 nucleotides long. RefSeq lists it as uncharacterized. NCBI's taxonomy places the organism in Eukaryota, Metazoa, Chordata, Actinopteri, Cichliformes, Cichlidae. The transcript has 2 exons. The record is from RefSeq and is a predicted model, not a curated record.